Molecule: ribosomal RNA, 253 nt
Filed under: uncultured bacterium
Lineage: Bacteria
Description: partial 16S ribosomal RNA
Rfam family: Bacterial small subunit ribosomal RNA
Source: RNAcentral
GACAGAGGUCCCGAGCGUUAGGCGGAAUCACUGGGCUUAAAGCGUGUGUAGGCGGAUCGUUAAGUACCUUGUGAAAUCCCACGGCUUAACCGUGGAACUGCUUGGUAUACUGGCGAUCUUGAGCCACUUAGGGGCUACCGGAACAAGUGGUGGAGCGGUGAAAUGCGUAGAUAUCAUUUGGAACGCCAAUGGUGAAAACAGGUAGCUGGGAGUGUGCUGACGCUGAGACACGAAAGCCAGGGGAGCAAACGGG